Molecule: non-coding RNA, 734 nt
Organism: Zonotrichia albicollis (white-throated sparrow)
Lineage: Eukaryota; Metazoa; Chordata; Aves; Passeriformes; Passerellidae
Source: RefSeq, a predicted model, not a curated record
AGAGGACUGCUGCAAGGAUCAGGAACUGUCAGUGGUUAGAGGAGCUGCCUAUGAGAAACAUUGGUGAGCUGGGUUGAAUGGAAGGCAAAAUCAACAUCUUCUUCGAAAAGUGUAUGAAAGAAGAAUGAGCAGAGAAAAUAAAUAUAAAACAAAAAGAAAGGGUCAUGUUUCAGCUGGCUGUCCUGCACGGGCCCCCUCGUACCUGUCUCCUGGAAUACUGUCUCUUCCCUCCCUGCACAGAUAGCACCCAGCCUCCUUGUUGAAAAGUUCCUCCAGUCUGUGGCAAGGAUUCCUGUAAAGGAAUGGAGGACAUGGAGAACACAAGUGGUAGAAGAUGGAUCACACUGCCUAGUGAGGCAGGAACUUCACAGCUGUGAUCUGUCCAGACUCCAUGUGUAUGUACCCUCCAGCACACUCACAAACUAUAGGUUUUUCCUUAGUGUCCCAAAUGGGACAGGCUACCUGCAGCCCAGAGGCUGUUUUAAACUGUGUGAGCCAUCAGGGAAAGCCUAAAAGUACAUUUAACCUGACAGUCUGUGAGAUAUGGGGUUUACUUGGUGUAACAUAUGCACAUGAAGGCCUAAGGAUUAUUUGAUAAAAGAGUUGCAGUUAUGUAUGUUUCUGAGAGAUGAUGGAGAUUUAAAUGUGCACUUUCUCACCUCUUUCCUACCAUUUUCUGAGCUGCCCUCCUCUGAUCCACUGAUAUGUGAACAAGUAUACUGACACAUAUGUGU